RNAcentral lists this ribosomal RNA (253 nucleotides) under uncultured bacterium. RNAcentral describes it as "partial 16S ribosomal RNA". It matches the Rfam family "Bacterial small subunit ribosomal RNA", at positions 524 to 776 of the family's 1533-position model. The record is from RNAcentral.
GACAGAGGAUGCAAACGUUGCUCGGAGUUACUGGGCGUAAAGCGCGUGUAGGUGGUCUGAUAAGUCGGGUGUGAAAUCCCGGGGCUCAACCUCGGAAGUGCACACGAUACUGUCGGACUCGAGUACUGGAGAGGAGAGCGGAAUUCCCGGUGUAGAGGUGAAAUUCGUAGAUAUCGGGAGGAACACCAGUGGCGAAGGCGGCUCUCUGGACAGAUACUGACACUGAGACGCGAAAGCGUGGGGAGCAAACAGG